UACGAAGGGGGCUAGCGUUGCUCGGAAUUACUGGGCGUAAAGCGCACGUAGGCGGAUUGUUAAGUCGGGGGUGAAAUCCCGGGGCUCAACUCCGGGGCCGCAGGUGAGACUGUGUGGCUAGAGCAUGGUAGAGGCGAGUGGAAUUCCCGGUGUAGCGGUGGAAUGCGUAGAUAUCGGGAAGAACACCGGUGGCGAAGGCGGCUCGCUGGGCCAUUGCUGACGCUGAGGCGCGAAAGCGUGGGGGAGCAAACAGG
This 254-nucleotide ribosomal RNA is filed under the name uncultured bacterium. Its description in RNAcentral is "partial 16S ribosomal RNA". It matches the Rfam family "Bacterial small subunit ribosomal RNA", at positions 524 to 776 of the family's 1533-position model. The record is from RNAcentral.